CCGCCAGAGCCCGCGAAGAUGGAUAGAACGACGGCGGCGAUGGUGAACUUGACGGCAGCCGCCAUUUAUUCGGUAAGUGCGCGUGUGUGCUGGGUUCAGAAUUCAGAUAGGCAGCGGGCGAGAUCAUUUUAUACAGCGGGUGUUGGGCGUUUAAGUGCUUGGAAUUAAGGCGAAGCCGGCCGGCCGGGCGACGUGCGCGCACAUGGAUGCAAUGCCUGAUUGAUGCUCUGCUCCGGAGAGCUCGAUUGGGGCAUCGAUCAGUCGUUGUUAGGACUCAUUGUUGGGUGAUAACAAUGCUUCUGCGUCUGCGUUAUUUCGGGAACAGAUAAAAGCAACACCAGCACACUUGUUCUUUCUAAUUUGAGCUAGAGGGGCCACUAGAUUACUAGUUUUGCCGGGACUGGAGCUGCCUAAUUGAACACACGUCGGUCUUGGCAGGACGGACAAUUUGUGCCGUUUAGGAAGUCAUCAUAGUGAUAUCGGCCUGCCAUGUGGAUGAUGCAUGUGUAUCUCUAACAAGCAUUCAUAAAGGCCUUGCUCAGAAGUCAGAAUCUAAAGUUGAGCACACCGAACAGAACGGAGAUGCAAAGUAGUAUUCUGAAAUACAUCCCAGGAGGUGGAGAAAAUCAAGUGAGGGGCAAAAAUCCUCAAAAUGUAACCAAACCAACGCAGUCUUACAGGACACCACCAGGAUAAGAUCGACGUUCAUCAGAUUCAGAAUCACAGGUUCAGCGCUUUCUUCUAAUCAUUUGGAUGCAUGUUCAAGGAAUAGAAUCACAAAUUCUCACAAUACAGUAGGUAGGUCAGCAGGC
RNAcentral lists this long non-coding RNA (812 nucleotides) under Brachypodium distachyon (stiff brome). Its description in RNAcentral is "long non-coding RNA (BDIS_LNC004921)". The record is from RNAcentral. Lineage: Eukaryota; Viridiplantae; Streptophyta; Magnoliopsida; Poales; Poaceae.